This 467-nucleotide ribosomal RNA is filed under the name uncultured bacterium. Its description in RNAcentral is "partial 16S ribosomal RNA". It matches the Rfam family "Bacterial small subunit ribosomal RNA", at positions 28 to 507 of the family's 1533-position model. The record is from RNAcentral.
GACGAACGCUGGCGGCGUGCUUAACACAUGCAAGUAGAACGGAAAGGCCCUGCCUUUGUGCGGUGCUCGAGUUGCGAACGGGUGAGUAACACGUGAGUAACCUGCCCGUGACUUUGGGAUAACUUUAGGAAACUGUGGCUAAUACCGGAUAGUAGCUCCUGUUGCAUGGCGGUGGCUGGAAAGUUUCGGCGGUUGGGGAUGGACUCGCGGCUUGUCAGCAUUUUGGUGGGUAGUGGCUUACCACGGCUUUGACGGGUGGCCGGCCUGAGAGGGUGACCGGCCACAUUGUGACUGAGGAGCGAGCCGGAGUGAUACGGGAGGAAUGAGUGGAGGAUAGUGCACGAUGGGCGGAAGCCGGAUGGAGGAACGCCGGGUGCGAAAUGUCGGCCGUCAGGGUAUAAACCGUUUUAGCCUGUGAAGAAGAGUGAGUGACGGUAAUUGGUAAAGAAGCACCGGCUAACUACGUG